CCUACGGGGGGCUGCAGUCGAGAAUCAUUCACAAUGGGGGAAACCCUGAUGGUGCGACGCCGCGUGGGGGAAUGAAGGUCUUCGGAUUGUAAACCCCUGUCAUGUGGGAGCAAAUUAAAAAGAUAGUACCACAAGAGGAAGAGACGGCUAACUCUGUGCCAGCAGCCGCGGUAAUACAGAGGUCUCAAGCGUUGUUCGGAAUCACUGGGCGUAAAGCGUGCGUAGGCUGUUUCGUAAGUCGUGUGUGAAAGGCGCGGGCUCAACCCGCGGACGGCACAUGAUACUGCGAGACUAGAGUAAGGGAGGGGGAACCGGAAUUCUAGGUGUAGCAGUGAAAUGCGUAGAUAUCGAGAGGAACACUCGUGGCGAAGGCGGGUUCCUGGACAUGAACUGACGCUGAGGCACGAAGGCCAGGGGAGCGAAAGGGAUUAGAUACCCGAGUAGUC
Molecule: ribosomal RNA, 446 nt
Filed under: uncultured bacterium
Lineage: Bacteria
Description: partial 16S ribosomal RNA
Rfam family: Bacterial small subunit ribosomal RNA
Source: RNAcentral